AGUGAACGCUGGCGGUAGGCCUAACACAUGCAAGUCGAACGGCAGCACAGGAGAGCUUGCUCUCUAGGUGGCGAGUGGCGGACGGGUGAGGAAUACAUCGGAAUCUGCCCAGUCGUGGGGGAUAACGUAGGGAAACUUACGCUAAUACCGCAUACGACCUUCGGGUGAAAGAGGGGGAUCGCAAGACCUCUCGCGAUUGGAUGAGCCGAUGUCGGAUUAGCUAGAUAGCGGGGUAAUGGCCCACCAAGGCGACGAUCCGUAGCUGGUCUGAGAGGAUGAUCAGCCACACUGGAACUGAGACACGGUCCAGACUCCUACGGGAGGCAGCAGUGGGGAAUAUUGGACAAUGGGCGCAAGCCUGAUCCAGCCAUACCGCGUGGGUGAAGAAGGCCUUCGGGUUGUAAAGCCCUUUUGUUGGGAAAGAAAUCUUUCAGGCUAAUACCCUGGGAGGAUGACGGUACCCAAAGAAUAAGCACCGGCUAACUUCGUG
This 490-nucleotide ribosomal RNA is filed under the name uncultured bacterium. RNAcentral describes it as "partial 16S ribosomal RNA". It matches the Rfam family "Bacterial small subunit ribosomal RNA", at positions 29 to 507 of the family's 1533-position model. The record is from RNAcentral.